AAAUCUUGAACAUUAGAUUUUAGACCUCAAGAAGAAACAAGAAAACCAGGUGCAGCUACUAAAGCAAAAGGGGAAAGCGAAGAAACUGCAAAAAAAUUGCUAGCUGAAAUACAGUACAUCAGGGCUCAAAAGGCACUUGUGUUUAAUUUUUUGAACUACUUAAUUAUUGAAAUUUUUACUUUGUAUCUGAUAUUGGAUUUAUGAAAACUGUAGGUCUAAUUGCAGCAUAAAAUGAAGCAAGAGGCAGAACAAUUUCGACAAUGGAAGGCUUCUCGAGAAAAGGAGUUACUUCAGGUAGCUAUUGCUUGUAGCUUUUGUAAAGCGAUCUAUAUUUAUGACCAGGACAUACAUGUUCGUACCUUAUGAUCGCUUUGGCAUCCUACCUCGUUAAACUUCAUGCAAAAAUGUAGUUAAUGGAAACCAAAGUCCUAUAAUAGUUGUUACGAGGGAUGUUAGGUGAAUUUCCUUGUUGGAGGAGGACUUCUGGUAAAAAAGUUCACAAAUGUUAUAGAUACAAUUAUGUAUGAUCUAAGAGAAGGAAGUUUAAGAGGGCUAGAGGAAGGAGGAACAGCAAAGGAGUUAGGAUUUAAGUUGUAU
Non-coding RNA from Arachis ipaensis, 597 nucleotides. NCBI's taxonomy places the organism in Eukaryota, Viridiplantae, Streptophyta, Magnoliopsida, Fabales, Fabaceae. The record is from RefSeq and is a predicted model, not a curated record.